ACAAAUACAUAAGCCACAACACAAAUACAUAAGCGACAACGGAAGUAGCUAGCUAUGUGACAACGGAAGUAGCUAAGUGACAACGGAAGUGAACGUGUUGUUGAUAAACGGAGCCGGAGGAUGAGCAGAAGGAGAAGUUCUUGUAUGUUUGAGAAGUUAUGUUUUGUCCAUUUUGUGGAGUGAACCUUCAACAUGUUCUGUCAUAUUGUGGGAAAUGUGGCAGAAACGUUCAGUUUUUAUGGAGUCUUCAAGAUGAAGGUCCUGAAGCUACAAUGGCAGAUGAACUUAUUCAGAAGUAUUUCACAGAAGGCCAUAGUUAUGAAGUAAUAAUGGACUUACUGGCAACCAAGCACAACAUUUCAUUGAGUCUUAGCACUUUAAAAAGAAGACUACAGGAUGCACGCCUGACCCGGAGGACAAACUACACUCCGUUUGCAACUGUGCAGGCAGCUAUAUCUGAGGAACUUAAGGGAUCAGGCCAGCUCUUAUGAUACCGAGCAAUGUGUCAGACUCUGAGACAGAAGUACUCUCUUAUAGUCAGAAGAGAUGAUGUGAUGCGCCUAAUGGGAGAACUGGAUCCGUCCGGAAAAGAAAAUCG
Long non-coding RNA from Perca flavescens (yellow perch), 598 nucleotides. RefSeq lists it as uncharacterized. The record is from RefSeq and is a predicted model, not a curated record. The transcript is spliced from 3 exons. NCBI's taxonomy places the organism in Eukaryota, Metazoa, Chordata, Actinopteri, Perciformes, Percidae.